AUAAAAAGUAAAAUAGUAGCUAAUGAAAAAGUUUUCAUCUUGACAUUUUUGUCGGAAUUAAAUAGUAUUUUACUUGAGUUAAUCAUAAAGUGGCAGAAAGUUCCAGACACUGAAGUUCUACUGUUUAUAAAUUGAUACGCACACACUGGGCGCCCAAUAGAGGAGUGGGAAUGGGAACGGCUGUAGGCUACCGGGGUGUGUCAUUGCGCCCUGCACUUGUCUUCGGCUCCUCAGUUGUCGCUUUCCCCACUUUGUUGUGCUGUCUUCUCUGACAAAAGCGUGGCACACAUUUGUCGACUUGCGCCUCCUUGUCGAGAGUUGGGUUCCCCCGUUCCCCCAAGUUGCCCAGAGUUCCCGACCCCCGGCUCUCCCCAGUCCAUCAUUAACUGCUGUCUCGCUCCAGCAGCGCACGACCUGAAAAACUCUUGUUUUUCGGGUUCUCUGUGUGUUUGCUUGCCUGUUUGUUUAUAAUAGCGCGCGGAGCAACAAAUGUUGGCAACAUUUACACAAAAAUUGUUUGAACAAUUGCUGUCUGCGAAACAAAAGGCGCCUACCUACACCUAGUUACAGUCUCCUCCCUCGACGCCCAUCCACCCGAAAGCACAACAAAAAUUAUGAUAAUAAUGAGACAGCAAUUGUUUAAAAAUAAAAUUAAUUUCCAUGCGCCGCCGUCCUCGCGUAUGGUAAUCGUAAAUUGCCGCUGAAGAGCGUAUAGAACAUUUGAGAUACACUUCAAAAAAUCGGAAUACCAAUGUAUUUAUAGUUGUGUAAACAAAGGCUUUUUAUCCGGGGCGCAGAAUGGAAUGUGUGAACAAAGACGGGGGCUACCAUAUAGAUUACCAUACCGAAACUCCCUGAAGGAGGGCCAGCCAAAGUCCCAAUAAGCCGCUUUUCGGACUGUUAUAUACGUUAUUCGUUGAAACGUCUCCCUUAUCAUCGGUCACGCAAAAUAUGACUCAGCAACACGGGGAGCAAAACAAAUAGCGCUGGGAAAGCGAAAACAGAAACGUGGCAAAGGGCGAUUCGUGCCCAUUCGAUGUACUCCAUUAUAUGGUCAAUAUAUAGACAUAGUGCCAAAUCGGAGACAAAGUCAGAUGUAGAUUCAGAUGCCCAUGCCAUGUGUCGGACGAAGACAAAGAGCAAAGAGCAGCCCAAGACAUGAGCAAAACAAAGCCGUCGAUAACGCACUAAACGAUGCCUUUCAUGAAUAUACGGCUCCCUGAUAAGGGGCAUAACGAAGCACGGAGUACGGAAUAUGGGGAUACAUUAUAGAGAAUAUGGGGAAUACUAACCAUACAGAGAAGAACGGAGCUAGAAACUGCACUCUAAACAAAGAAAAUAAAGAAAGGUAUACUAGAACUGUU
Long non-coding RNA from Drosophila gunungcola (fruit fly), 1364 nucleotides. RefSeq lists it as uncharacterized. NCBI's taxonomy places the organism in Eukaryota, Metazoa, Arthropoda, Insecta, Diptera, Drosophilidae. The record is from RefSeq and is a predicted model, not a curated record. The transcript is spliced from 2 exons.